GGGGACGACAUGGUUUCGACGGGUAGUUGAAGGGGGAUAGAACUGCAUGCCGGGAUUUCUCGCUACCCCGAAAUUAGCGAGAGCACUGAUAAGUGCCGACUACAAUUAUGCACUGGCUGCCUAAUUUAACCGGGUAGCCCGCUCGCUAUCGCCUGUGCCCGUCAAGGCGAUAGAUGGGCGUCGCUAAUGAUGGGCCUCUCUUUGGGGUUGCCUGGGCCUCAAAGAGCAGUACCCUCCAGGCUCGCCACCGGAAGGCUGGCCGUGCUGCCCGCCGGUGGUUAAAUUCAACCGCACGGCUAAGCAUGUAGAGGUUCUAUCAACCUCCUACCCGGACCCGGGUUCGAUUCCCGGCGUCUCCACCA
Molecule: transfer-messenger RNA, 362 nt
Filed under: Calditrichota bacterium
Lineage: Bacteria; Pseudomonadati; Calditrichota
Also listed under: 1 other name
Description: Calditrichaeota bacterium transfer-messenger RNA
Rfam family: transfer-messenger RNA
About the family: Bacterial tmRNA, also known as 10Sa RNA or SsrA, is named for its dual tRNA and mRNA-like properties. Its role is to liberate the mRNA from a stalled ribosome.
Source: RNAcentral